RNAcentral lists this small RNA (156 nucleotides) under Arabidopsis thaliana (thale cress). RNAcentral's name for it is "ATSL268480". Lineage: Eukaryota; Viridiplantae; Streptophyta; Magnoliopsida; Brassicales; Brassicaceae. The record is from RNAcentral.
AAAAGAUACAAAGACAAAGACUCAUAUGGACUUCGGCUACACCAUCAAAGCUUUGAGAUGGAAGAAGAAGCUUGGUUACUGUUUUGGAGUCAAAUAUGACUAAAUGUCAUGUGUAUGAGUGAGUUUAACAACUAGAACCGCAAUUGGAUUUUAAAU